Molecule: ribosomal RNA, 1115 nt
Filed under: Umbelopsis angularis
Lineage: Eukaryota; Fungi; Mucoromycota; Umbelopsidomycetes; Umbelopsidales; Umbelopsidaceae
Also listed under: 1 other name
Description: SSU rRNA
Rfam family: Eukaryotic small subunit ribosomal RNA
Source: RNAcentral
CAAAGAUUAAGCCAUGCAUGUCUAAGUAUAAACAAAUUUAUACAGUGAAACUGCGAAUGGCUCAUUAAAUCAGUUAUAAUUUAUUUGAUAUUCACUUACUACUUGGAUAACCGUGGUAAUUCUAGAGCUAAUACAUGCGUACAUAACCUCGACUUCUGGAAGAGGUGCACUUAUUAGAUAAAAAGCCAACGCGGGCAACCGCUUGUAUGGUGAUUCAUAAUAAUUAAGCGAAUCGCAUGGCCUUGUGCCGGCGAUGAUGCAUUCAAAUUUCUGCCCUAUCAAGUUUCGAUGGUAGGUUAGUGGCCUACCAUGCUUUUAACGGGUAACGGGGAAUUAGGGUUCGAUUCCGGAGAGGGAGCCUGAGAAACGGCUACCACAUCCAAGGAAGGCAGCAGGCGCGCAAAUUACCCAAUCCCGACACGGGGAGGUAGUGACAAUAAAUAACAAUACAGGGCCUUUACGGGUCUUGUAAUUGGAAUGAGUACAAUUUAAAUCCCUUAACGAGGAACAAUUGGAGGGCAAGUCUGGUGCCAGCAGCCGCGGUAAUUCCAGCUCCAAUAGCGUAUAUUAAAGUUGUUGCAGUUAAAAAGCUCGUAGUUGAAUUUUGGCCUUGGGUGGUUUGGUUUGGCCUUCAUUGGUCAAUGCCUUUUCCGCCUAGGUCUUACCUUCUGGGUUAGCUAGUGUCAUUUCGGUGGCGCUAGUGAACCAGAACUUUUACUUUGAAAAAAUUGGAGUGUUUAAAGCAGGCUUUCAAGCUUGAACAUAUUAGCAUGGAAUAAUGAAAUAGGACUUUGGCCUUAUUUCGUUGGUUUCUAAAGCCAAAGUAAUGAUGAAUAGGGAUAGUUGGGGACAUUAGUAUUCAAUUGUCAGAGGUGAAAUUCUUGGAUUUAUUGAAGACUAACUUCUGCGAAAGCAUUUGUCAAGGAUGUUUUCAUUAAUCAAGAACGAAAGUUAGGGGAUCGAAGACGAUCAGAUACCGUCGUAGUCUUAACCAUAAACUAUGCCGACUAAGGAUCGGAUGGUGUUAUAUUUUAUAUUGACCCAUUCGGCAUUUCAGCGAAAGCCAAGUUUUUGGGUUCCGGGGGGAGUAUGGUCGCAAGGCUGAAACUUAAAGG